UGACAAUCUUGUAUAAUUGUUAAGCUGCAAUGUAAUGACCUGAUCUCAAAAAAACAAAGUAUCUAGUUUAAACUUUAAGUUGUCAACUCCACUGCUGUUGUAAUUAAAUACUAUAUUCUCUCUUUUAACUUACUUUUGAGGAGGAUCAUGCCAAUGAUACUGUUGGGCCACGCAACACCGGUUAACUCCACAUUAGUAUGAUAAGGCUUGUUGGGCCACGCAACACCCGUUAACUCCACAUUAGUGAUACUACUAUUGAAAUAGACUACACCCAUGAGAGUGAUGCGGACAAUUAUGCACAAGCGAAUGGAACUGAAGGUUCCGGUAUAUAGUCUGUGCUCUUUGCCACCACAAAAUGCUGCUAUACGUGUUUUCCUGCGAUGCUUUUACCUCUAAACUGAUUGGCUGAUUAAAAGCAGGCAUACGAGAACAGAGAUGUACUUCACUGCGAAAAAUAUUGAUGUGAUCAAAAAAACCCUUUAUUCUGAAAACUUGUUGACAUUUCUGAAGUAUCAAAGUAAUCAAAACUAAGAAUAUUAUCAUAAUAAUGCCUUCUACUCUCACUACGGGAAAACAGGUCAAAACCGACCACCAAUAUUGAUCGGUUAUGAAUGUGAUCGGUCGAUUAUAAAGCUUAAACCGACCGAUAAAGGUGGUCGGUUACGUUAAUUAGUCGUGUUUAACACUUAAAACCGACCGUGUGGGUGGUCGGUUAUGUGCUGUUGUAUUCCCAGAAAAAUGGUCCCACUUGAUGCCACCUGUCACCACGUGGCAACAGGUGUCACACCACGUCAAAACCGAACAGUCAAACCGACCACCUGUAUUGGUCGGUUAUGUGCCUUUUAUUCACUGUUGACCAGACGUAAAACUGACCGUAGUCAAACCUUCUCAAACGGUCGGUUAUGUGCGGUCGGUUAUAUCUCGGUCGGUUUAAGCCAAGUACGCUUUCAUGAUUUGUAUAACCGACCGCAACAUAACCGACCGUCUUUAAAAGAAGACGGUCGGUUUUAUAUGAAUGCGGUCGGUUUUCUGCAAUUGUGUAUAGUCUGUGUGGACGGUUUUAUAUGAAUGCGGUCGGUUUUCUUGUAAAGGUAUGGUAAAAAAUGGUUGCUUAUGUGUACAAUUGGUCGGUUUUCUGGGCUAUUUUUGAAAAACAAUUGCAGAUUCUUCUGCAGUUUCACUUUCCAAUCCUGUACCAACACAAACAUCUAUAACCAACAUCAAAUACCAAUACCAACAACCAAACAUCAACCAUUCUAAAUUUAGCAAUACAAACACAAACACAAAGCUCAAAUUCUAAUUAAUUAAGCAAUAUAUAUACAUUCCAAACAUUCCAAAAAUCUAUCCAAACUACAUUAAGUCCGACAUAAUCGGACAUUCCAAAGUAUCAACGUAAACAAAGUUUUCAAUGUGAUCCAUAACAAGUUCGGGGAAUGAAAAAUGGAAACUAGUUAGACAAAGAAAGAUCGGAUGAUCCACCAUUGUCUUCACUACCGGCUUCGCCACCGCCUUCGUCACCACCUUCAUCAACGCCUUCACGCUCAUCAUCCGUAUUUUCAUUCGUGUCUUCGUCCACAUCGGUGUAAUCUUUCUCUCCCUCUUGUGCAUUUGCCUACAAAAACAUGUGAACCAAUUAGAAAUCCAUUUUUACAUAUCAAUCAAAACAAAAAACAAAACAUGAAUACAUAAGUAUAUUACCAUUCGAACACGAGCAUCCAUUUUGUAAAGAAAAUCACAUCCUCGUUGACUCUGCAAAAGAUAUUCGCUAAUCACUUCUAUGUGCCAAUCAAGAAAGUAUUACAAAGUGAGGGUCUGCCAACAUUACUUAACUCUAAUAUUUAAUUGUAGUUAUAUUAUAAUAUACUUUAAUGAAAACACGUGGUUUAAAGAUGAAACCGUGAAAUAAAAAAAAAUUCAGAAAACAUUAAUGCUUAAAUAAAAAUAUAUAUUCUUUACCAAUUAAAAACAUAAUUAUUGGCGAUAUAAAUUCAUUGAUUUAAAUUUUUAUGAUAAAAUUUCUAACGAGAUAAUUUAUUAAAUUUG
This 2043-nucleotide long non-coding RNA is filed under the name Daucus carota (carrot). RNAcentral describes it as "long non-coding RNA (DCAR_LNC005429)". Lineage: Eukaryota; Viridiplantae; Streptophyta; Magnoliopsida; Apiales; Apiaceae. The record is from RNAcentral.